Molecule: ribosomal RNA, 429 nt
Filed under: Acidobacteriota bacterium
Lineage: Bacteria; Pseudomonadati; Acidobacteriota
Description: Acidobacteria bacterium partial 16S ribosomal RNA
Rfam family: Bacterial small subunit ribosomal RNA
Source: RNAcentral
UGGGGAAUUUUGGACAAUGGGGGAAACCCUGAUCCAGCCAUCCCGCGUGUGCGAUGAAGGCCUUCGGGUUGUAAAGCACUUUUGGCAGGAAAGAAACGUCAUGGGUUAAUACCCCGUGAAACUGACGGUACCUGCAGAAUAAGCACCGGCUAACUACGUGCCAGCAGCCGCGGUAAUACGUAGGGUGCAAGCGUUAAUCGGAAUGACUGGGCGUAAAGCGUGCGCAGGCGGUUCGGAAAGAAAGAUGUGAAAUCCCAGAGCUCAACUUUGGAACUGCAUUUUUAACUACCGGGCUAGAGUGUGUCAGAGGGAGGUGGAAUUCCGCGUGUAGCAGUGAAAUGCGUAGAUAUGCGGAGGAACACCGAUGGCGAAGGCAGCCUCCUGGGAUAACACUGACGCUCAUGCACGAAAGCGUGGGGAGCAAACAGG